RNAcentral lists this ribosomal RNA (494 nucleotides) under uncultured bacterium. Its description in RNAcentral is "bacterial SSU rRNA". It matches the Rfam family "Bacterial small subunit ribosomal RNA", at positions 29 to 511 of the family's 1533-position model. The record is from RNAcentral.
AUUGAACGCUGGCGGCAUGCCUAACACAUGCAAGUCGAACGGCAGCACGGCAGUAGCAAUACUGUGGGUGGCGAGUGGCGGACGGGUGAGGAAUACGUCGGAAUCUGCCCAAUCGUGGGGGAUAACUAACCGAAAGGUUAGCUAAUACCGCAUACGACCGAGAGGUGAAAGCGGGGGACCGCAAGGCCUCGCGCGAUUGGAUGAGCCGACGUCGGAUUAGCUUGUUGGUGGGGUAAAGGCCUACCAAGGCGACGAUCGGUAGCUGGUCUGAGAGGAUGAUCAGCCACACUGGGACUGAGACACGGCCCAGACUCCUACGGGAGGCAGCAGUGGGGAAUAUUGGACAAUGGGCGCAAGCCUGAUCCAGCAAUGCCGCGUGUGUGAAGAAGGCCUGCGGGUUGUAAAGCACUUUUGUUCGGGAAGAAAUCAUGUCGGUUAAUACCCGAUGUGGAUGACGGUACCGAAAGAAUAAGCACCGGCUAACUUCGUGCCAG